GUCAAGCUACAAAGGGCUCACGGAGGAUACCUAGGCACACAGAGGCGAUGAACGACGUGUUACCUGCGAUAGUCUCGGGGAGUUGGAAGCACACUUUGAUCGGAUUUCGAUGGGGCACCCCUAGACGCAGCUGAUCUAUAGCUGCACGAGCACCAGCGACUGAACAUCUAAU
RNAcentral lists this ribosomal RNA (172 nucleotides) under uncultured Prochlorococcus sp. RNAcentral describes it as "partial 23S ribosomal RNA". Lineage: Bacteria; Bacillati; Cyanobacteriota; Cyanophyceae; Synechococcales; Prochlorococcaceae. The record is from RNAcentral.